RNAcentral lists this transfer RNA (71 nucleotides) under Araneus ventricosus. RNAcentral's name for it is "tRNA-Ile". The record is from RNAcentral. Lineage: Eukaryota; Metazoa; Arthropoda; Arachnida; Araneae; Araneidae.
UGGCCCAUGGGGAUGAACCCACGACCUUCGCGUUAUUAGCACGACGCUCUAACCAACUGAGCUAAUGGGCC